This 1142-nucleotide long non-coding RNA is filed under the name Mytilus galloprovincialis (Mediterranean mussel). Lineage: Eukaryota; Metazoa; Mollusca; Bivalvia; Mytilida; Mytilidae. The record is from RNAcentral.
UGGUGUUAUAUAUAUAUCAAUUCAACAAAAGUUUUACCUUCACCACCUUAACAAAUUCAAAGUAAAAAAGGCUGCAACCCAAAUAAAUUCACAUCUUUUAUUUCAAAUGUUAAAAUUCAGAAAAAAAAUUUCAAAUAAGAUGCAUUUUUUCAGCUUACACUUUUGUUCAAGCAGGUUUUGUCAUUGCAGUCAGCCCAUUGUGGAGCUGGGUAGUGAGUAGGUUGGUUCCCUCCUUAAACUAUUCAGUAAGCCUUUGGACUAUACAAAUAAUGGUCAGGUACCAGUCUUGGUAGAGUGUUGGUAUGACUUCUUAAUUGUAGUCAGAAGUGGGAUUCUAAAUUUUUAAUUAUAAAAAAAUAAUCUGGUGUAAGUUUGAAAAAUAAUAUUAUUUUAAAAUGGAUAAUUCUUUGCAUUUUGAUUUAAUUUUAUUUACUGUGCUCACCAAUAAAACAUUUGGUUGAGGCAAACUUAAGUUACAGAAUGGAAACGAAAUAUUCAUUGAUUUUUGUAUUUGUAAAAGCGGCAUAACUCUAGAAAAGUAACAGUGACACCACCAAAAUUCAACCUUGAUUUGUGUUAUGUGGUUAUAAACAUUGUGCAUCAGUUUCAUAUCAUCAUUUGAGGCAAACCUAAGUUAGAGAACAGAAAGAAAAAAAUAGUUAUUUUUCAAUUUGUAAAGGGGGAUAACUCUCAAACAGAAAAAUUGAUGUCACAAAUAUUCAAACUUGAUCUGUUUUGAGGUAAUUAGCAGUGUGUAUUAAUUUCAUAUUUUGUUGAGGUAAACUAUAGCUAGAGAACAGAAAUGAAAACUGCUGAAAUUUUCCAUUUGUAAAAGAGCAUAUUAACUCUAGAGCACUAUAAUUAGGGCCACCAAAAUUCAAUCUUGAUAUGUUUUUGUGGUAAUACACAUUGUGUAUAAGUUGAGAUAGGGGUCAUAAACAAGUUGUAGUAGGGGGUCUGUCAAUUCACUUAGAAUCGAAUGCAUUAUGAGUAAUAUGGUAAUAUUUACAAAAACGUACACCAAACCGUCGUGAUUGUAUUAAACAAUGAAAAUUAAACCAAUGACGUAACGUUAUUUUCAUUUUGGUGUACGAACAAUGAGAUUACCCAUAGUUCUUUAGAUUCUAAAAACGUGAAUGACA